GGUUGGACGGCUUGUGCCGUUUUCAAGAUACGUCUUCUUGGGUGGGAAGUC
The submitters of this non-coding RNA (51 nucleotides) gave its source as unclassified sequences. The record is from Rfam.